UAAAAAGUCCUCUAGGGUUCCGCGGCGCUUAUGCUGGACUGGUCCGAGAGAGGGCGCACAGGGAUGCCUGUGUACACGGAGGGACAAAAACCCGGGAGAU
RNAcentral lists this small RNA (100 nucleotides) under Mesobacillus selenatarsenatis. RNAcentral describes it as "Bacillus selenatarsenatis Guanidine-I sequence". It matches the Rfam family "Guanidine-I riboswitch aptamer". Rfam says of the family: This family represents a conserved RNA structure found upstream of the ykkC and yxkD genes in Bacillus subtilis and related genes in other bacteria. The function of this family is unclear although it has been suggested that it may function to switch on efflux pumps and detoxification systems in response to harmful environmental molecules. The record is from RNAcentral. RNAcentral also lists the same sequence under 1 other name. Lineage: Bacteria; Bacillati; Bacillota; Bacilli; Caryophanales; Bacillaceae.